CCUACGGGAGGCAGCAGUGAGGAAUAUUGGUCAAUGGGCGCGAGCCUGAACCAGCCAAGUCGCGUGAGGGAAGACGGUCCUCUGGAUUGUAAACCUCUUUUGUCGGGGAGCACAAUACGCCACGCGUGUCGUUCCGAGCGUACCCUACGAAAAAGCAUCGGCUAACUCCGUGCCAGCCGCCGCGGUAAUACGGAGGAUGCGAGCGUUAUCCGGAUUUAUUGGGUUUAAAGGGUUCGCAGGCGGAAGAGCAAGUCAGCGGUAAAAUUAAGAGGCUCAACCUCUGCGAGCCGUUGAUACUGGUGGUCUUGAGUGAGCUAGAAGUAUGCGGAAUGCGUGGUGUAGCGGUGAAAUGCAUAGAUAUCACGCAGAACACCGAUUGCGAAGGCAGCAUACCGGCGCGCAACUGACGCUCAUGCACGAAAGUGUGGGGAUCGAACAGGAUUAGAUACCCUAGUAGUC
Molecule: ribosomal RNA, 459 nt
Filed under: uncultured bacterium
Lineage: Bacteria
Description: partial 16S ribosomal RNA
Rfam family: Bacterial small subunit ribosomal RNA
Source: RNAcentral